GCCGUCUUAGCUCAGAGGUAGAGCGCAUGGCUUUUAACCAUGUGGUCGUGGGUUCGGAUCCCCACAGACGGCG
RNAcentral lists this transfer RNA (73 nucleotides) under Populus tomentosa. It matches the Rfam family "tRNA". Rfam says of the family: Transfer RNA (tRNA) molecules are approximately 80 nucleotides in length. Their secondary structure includes four short double-helical elements and three loops (D, anti-codon, and T loops). Further hydrogen bonds mediate the characteristic L-shaped molecular structure. tRNAs have two regions of fundamental functional importance: the anti-codon, which is responsible for specific mRNA codon recognition, and the 3' end, to which the tRNAs corresponding amino acid is attached (by aminoacyl-tRNA synthetases). tRNAs cope with the degeneracy of the genetic code in two manners: having more than one tRNA (with a specific anti-codon) for a particular amino acid; and 'wobble' base-pairing, i.e. permitting non-standard base-pairing at the 3rd anti-codon position. The record is from Rfam by way of RNAcentral. Lineage: Eukaryota; Viridiplantae; Streptophyta; Magnoliopsida; Malpighiales; Salicaceae.